UACGGGGGGGGCAAGCGUUGUUCGGAAUUACUGGGCGUAAAGGGCGCGUAGGCGGCCAUCUAAGUCGGACGUGAAAUCCCUCGGCUUAACCGAGGAACUGCGUCCGAUACUGGAAGGCUUGAAUCCGGGAGAGGGAUGUGGAAUUCCAGGUGUAGCGGUGAAAUGCGUAGAUAUCUGGAGGAACACCGGUGGCGAAGGCGGCAUCCUGGACCGGCAUUGACGCUGAGGCGCGAAAGCUAGGGGAGCAAACGGG
RNAcentral lists this ribosomal RNA (253 nucleotides) under uncultured bacterium. RNAcentral's name for it is "partial 16S ribosomal RNA". It matches the Rfam family "Bacterial small subunit ribosomal RNA", at positions 524 to 776 of the family's 1533-position model. The record is from RNAcentral.